UUAAGCGACUAAGCGUACACGGUGGAUGCCCUGGCAGUCAGAGGCGAUGAAGGGCGUGCUAAUCUGCGAUAAGCGCCGGUAAGGUGAUAUGAACCGUUAUAACCGGCGAUACCCGAAUGGGGAAACCCAGUGUGAUUCGUCACACUAUCAUUAACUGAAUCCAUAGGUUAAUGAGGCGAACCGGGGGAACUGAAACAUCUAAGUACCCCGAGGAAAAGAAAUCAACCGAGAUUCCCCCAGUAGCGGCGAGCGAACGGGGAGGAGCCCAGAGCCUGAAUCAGCAUGUGUGUUAGUGGAAGCGUCUGGAAAGGCGCGCGAUACAGGGUGACAGCCCCGUACACAAAAGCGCAUGUGCUGUGAGCUCGAUGAGUAGGGCGGGACACGUGGUAUCCUGUCUGAAUAUGGGGGGACCAUCCUCCAAGGCUAAAUACUCCUGACUGACCGAUAGUGAACCAGUACCGUGAGGGAAAGGCGAAAAGAACCCCGGCGAGGGGAGUGAAAAAGAACCUGAAACCGUGUACGUACAAGCAGUGGGAGCACNNNNNNNNNNGUGUGACUGCGUACCUUUUGUAUAAUGGGUCAGCGACUUAUAUUCUGUAGCAAGGUUAACCGUAUAGGGGAGCCGGAGGGAAACCGAGUCUUAACCGGGCGUUAAGUUGCAGGGUAUAGACCCGAAACCCGGUGAUCUAGCCAUGGGCAGGUUGAAGGUUGGGUAACACUAACUGGAGGACCGAACCGACUAAUGUUGAAAAAUUAGCGGAUGACCUGUGGCUGGGGGUGAAAGGCCAAUCAAACCGGGAGAUAGCUGGUUCUCCCCGAAAGCUAUUUAGGUAGCGCCUCGUGAAUUCAUCUCCGGGGGUAGAGCACUGUUUCGGCUAGGGGGCCAUCCCGGCUUACCAACCCGAUGCAAACUGCGAAUACCGGAGAAUGUUAUCACGGGAGACACACGGCGGGUGCUAACGUCCGUCGUGAAGAGGGAAACAACCCAGACCGCCAGCUAAGGUCCCAAAGUCAUGGUUAAGUGGGAAACGAUGUGGGAAGGCCCAGACAGCCAGGAUGUUGGCUUAGAAGCAGCCAUCAUUUAAAGAAAGCGUAAUAGCUCACUGGUCGAGUCGGCCUGCGCGGAAGAUGUAACGGGGCUAAACCAUGCACCGAAGCUGCGGCAGCGAACGUAUCACCCAAGACAACUUUACGGAGUUGACGAUUGACGGAGCGAAGCGACGUCAAAGCGUUCAUUAAAGUCGAGUUGGCUUAGGGAUACGUUCGUUGGGUAGGGGAGCGUUCUGUAAGCCUGUGAAGGUGUGUCGUGAGGCAUGCUGGAGGUAUCAGAAGUGCGAAUGCUGACAUAAGUAACGAUAAAGCGGGUGAAAAGCCCGCUCGCCGGAAGACCAAGGGUUCCUGUCCAACGUUAAUCGGGGCAGGGUGAGUCGACCCCUAAGGCGAGGCCGAAAGGCGUAGUCGAUGGGAAACGGGUUAAUAUUCCCGUACUUGGUGUUACUGCGAAGGGGGGACGGAGAAGGCUAUGUUGGCCGGGCGACGGUUGUCCCGGUUUAAGCGUGUAGGUGUGUGUUCCAGGUAAAUCCGGUUCACUUUAACACUGAGGCGUGACGACGAGGCACUACGGUGCUGAAGCAACAAAUGCCCUGCUUCCAGGAAAAGCCUCUAAGCAUCAGGUAACACGAAAUCGUACCCCAAACCGACACAGGUGGUCAGGUAGAGAAUACCAAGGCGCUUGAGAGAACUCGGGUGAAGGAACUAGGCAAAAUGGUGCCGUAACUUCGGGAGAAGGCACGCUGACACGUAGGUGAAGUGAUUUACUCAUGGAGCUGAAGUCAGUCGAAGAUACCAGCUGGCUGCAACUGUUUAUUAAAAACACAGCACUGUGCAAACACGAAAGUGGACGUAUACGGUGUGACGCCUGCCCGGUGCCGGAAGGUUAAUUGAUGGGGUCAGCGCAAGCGAAGCUCCUGAUCGAAGCCCCGGUAAACGGCGGCCGUAACUAUAACGGUCCUAAGGUAGCGAAAUUCCUUGUCGGGUAAGUUCCGACCUGCACGAAUGGCGUAAUGAUGGCCAGGCUGUCUCCACCCGAGACUCAGUGAAAUUGAACUCGCUGUGAAGAUGCAGUGUACCCGCGGCAAGACGGAAAGACCCCGUGAACCUUUACUAUAGCUUGACACUGAACAUUGAGCCUUGAUGUGUAGGAUAGGUGGGAGGCUUUGAAGUGUGGACGCCAGUCUGCAUGGAGCCGACCUUGAAAUACCACCCUUUAAUGUUUGAUGUUCUAACGUGGACCCGUAAUCCGGGUUGCGGACAGUGUCUGGUGGGUAGUUUGACUGGGGCGGUCUCCUCCUAAAGAGUAACGGAGGAGCACGAAGGUUGGCUAAUCCUGGUCGGACAUCAGGAGGUUAGUGCAAUGGCAUAAGCCAGCUUGACUGCGAGCGUGACGGCGCGAGCAGGUGCGAAAGCAGGUCAUAGUGAUCCGGUGGUUCUGAAUGGAAGGGCCAUCGCUCAACGGAUAAAAGGUACUCCGGGGAUAACAGGCUGAUACCGCCCAAGAGUUCAUAUCGACGGCGGUGUUUGGCACCUCGAUGUCGGCUCAUCACAUCCUGGGGCUGAAGUAGGUCCCAAGGGUAUGGCUGUUCGCCAUUUAAAGUGGUACGCGAGCUGGGUUUAGAACGUCGUGAGACAGUUCGGUCCCUAUCUGCCGUGGGCGCUGGAGAACUGAGGGGGGCUGCUCCUAGUACGAGAGGACCGGAGUGGACGCAUCACUGGUGUUCGGGUUGUCAUGCCAAUGGCACUGCCCGGUAGCUAAAUGCGGAAGAGAUAAGUGCUGAAAGCAUCUAAGCACGAAACUUGCCCCGAGAUGAGUUCUCCCUGAGACUUAGAGUCUCCUGAAGGAACGUUGAAGACGACGACGUUGAUAGGCCGGGUGUGUAAGCGCAGCGAUGCGUUGAGCUAACCGGUACUAAUGAACCGUGAGGCUUAACCUU
Molecule: ribosomal RNA, 2990 nt
Filed under: Salmonella enterica subsp. enterica serovar Typhimurium str. DT104
Lineage: Bacteria; Pseudomonadati; Pseudomonadota; Gammaproteobacteria; Enterobacterales; Enterobacteriaceae
Description: bacterial LSU rRNA
Rfam family: Bacterial large subunit ribosomal RNA
Source: RNAcentral